UUGGAGGGCAAGUCUGGUGCCAGCAGCCGCGGUAAUUCCAGCUCCAAUAGCGUAUAUUAAAGUUGUUGCAGUUAAAAAGCUCGUAGUUGAAUUUCGGAGUUUGUCGGUUGGUCGGGCUUCACUGUCCGCACUGGCCUGAUGGAUUCCUACCUUCUGAAUAACCAGCAUGCUAUUAAGUUAGUGCGUUGGGGAAGCAGAGCUAUUACCUUGAAAAAACUAGAGUGCUUAAAGCAGGCUUAUGCUUGAAUAGAUUAGCAUGGAAUAAUAAAAUAGGACGGCAUGGUUCUAUUUUGUUGGUUUCUAGGAUCACCGUAAUGAUUAAUAGGGAUAGUUGGGGGCAUUAGUAUUCAAUUGUCAGAGGUGAAAUUCUUGGAUUUAUUGAAGACUAACUUCUGCGAAAGCAUUUGCCAAGGAUGUUUUCAUUAAUCAAGAACGAAAGUUAGGGGAUCGAAGACGAUCAGAUACCGUCGUAGUCUUAACCAUAAACUAUGCCGACUAGGGAUCGGACGAUGUUAAUUUUUUAAUGACUCGUUCGGCGCCUUACGGGAAAC
Molecule: ribosomal RNA, 551 nt
Filed under: uncultured Acaulospora
Lineage: Eukaryota; Fungi; Glomeromycota; Glomeromycetes; Diversisporales; Acaulosporaceae
Description: SSU rRNA
Rfam family: Eukaryotic small subunit ribosomal RNA
Source: RNAcentral